GGUGGCUCAGUGGCAGAGUGUUUGCCUUGCAUGCAUGAGGCCCUGGGUUCGAUUCCUCAGCACCA
This 65-nucleotide transfer RNA is filed under the name Dipodomys ordii (Ord's kangaroo rat). It matches the Rfam family "tRNA". From Rfam's summary of the family: Transfer RNA (tRNA) molecules are approximately 80 nucleotides in length. Their secondary structure includes four short double-helical elements and three loops (D, anti-codon, and T loops). Lineage: Eukaryota; Metazoa; Chordata; Mammalia; Rodentia; Heteromyidae. The record is from Rfam by way of RNAcentral.